AGGUGAAGACCUGUGCUUGUGGUGUAAAGCAGCUGGAGAAAAAUUCAGAGCUAUCAUUUUCAAGUCACCUAAAAUCUAUCCAUCUAAAAAGAUUUUGGUAGCAUUGAAGUGAUGCUGUAGCUGUGAUGGUCCAGGAAAUAAGUACACCUCUGCAAUCCCACCAACUUCAGUAUGGCUGCAUCUAUACCUGAACUCGCUCCUACAAGGACCUGCAGAGACUACAGCAUGUUUAUACAACCCUGAAUUAUGGCAGGCUUUCCUAGGCUGUCCAGCAUCUCCACAGCACUCCACUCUGUAGCCCUGCUCCUGGCUUAUCCCUACAUGAGGGCUUGUGGAAAGUCCUUGGAAGGUUAUUUUAAGGCUGUUUUAUAGCCUCUGCACCAAGGAAAUCCUCCCACAACUGGAUACAUGAUGGUGCUUUAUGCAGCUCUGGUCCUCCUACCUGACAGAAAGGGCCAGAAUGAGGGAGGGUGUGAAAAUCUCACCCAUAUUUCUAGCUUGUUUGUUUAAAUAAUGCCAAAUACUUCACUUUAUCUUGCUGAGACAAGCAGAUAUCACAAAGAAAUGCACAACUGAAAUACAGUGAGAUUAUAACUAAACAACCACCCUUAGACAUCUUACACUAAACCCUUCCUGAAACACUUUUGAUCUCCACAGAUAUAAAGUAUUCUUUCUCGACUUCAAAACUCCUCUGAAGUGACUACACAAUCAUGUUGCCAUCUCCCAAUUUAUUUAUAGGCUCUUCUAUGAUGCAUAUCUCCACAGCAUCUGAAAAUGCCAUCCUCACAGCCUUGCUCUAGGGUAAGGCAGCAUUUUGGUAGCAGCUACUUGUCCUGAGUUCAGUGGGGUUAGCACAGACCCAAGCAGUAAUUUUCACUUUGCUUUAGAGCAGUGGUUUGCAAACUUUUAAGACUCAAAGCACCCCUCAUGAGGCCCCCCUCAGAAAGCACUGGCUCUUAGUUUUUACUUU
Molecule: long non-coding RNA, 970 nt
Organism: Alligator sinensis (Chinese alligator)
Lineage: Eukaryota; Metazoa; Chordata; Crocodylia; Alligatoridae
Exons: 3
Source: RefSeq, a predicted model, not a curated record